UGAGUAUAUACUUUUUUUUUACUUAUAAUUUUUUAACUGGUAGAUCUAUUUCUUUAACUAUUUCCAUCCGUUAGAUCAUAUAUACUAUUCAACCGAUCACCGACUCAAUUCUAGAAAACCACUAUCAUUCUAACUGUCUAUUUCUUUAUCCAACGAUCGAAAAUUUAUAAAUACAAAAAGAUCUAUAAUAGCCCUAGCCUAAUUAAUAUAUACUAUCAAAAAAUUAUAUUUUGAUGA
This 237-nucleotide long non-coding RNA is filed under the name Ananas comosus (pineapple). RNAcentral describes it as "long non-coding RNA (ACOM_LNC027375)". The record is from RNAcentral. Lineage: Eukaryota; Viridiplantae; Streptophyta; Magnoliopsida; Poales; Bromeliaceae.